Molecule: long non-coding RNA, 813 nt
Organism: Photinus pyralis (common eastern firefly)
Lineage: Eukaryota; Metazoa; Arthropoda; Insecta; Coleoptera; Lampyridae
Exons: 3
Source: RefSeq, a predicted model, not a curated record
CCCAAUGGAAUAUCUCCCUUACCAACGUACCGGUAGUAAAAAUGUGUACAUACGGUAUAAGGUACUCGUAUAUCGAUUGUGAAUGGAUCAGAGUGAAGACGUGUGCAAUUAGACUGGAUAACACACAUUUAUUUCAAUAAAAAGUAUUAAAAUUUGCAAUUACAGUUGACGGCUGUGAAUCGAAUUCGUGCAUUAAAAAAGGUUAUUGCGAAUUAAAUUAAUGGCACUUGAUUUUAAUUAUCUUAUUUUUGCAUCACAAAGAACUUCAUUUGUGUAACUGACUGCAGUCAGAAGGAAUGUCUUUAUGAGCCAGGAAAAAACUGAAACCAACAGCCUUCAAAAUCGCCGAAGAGGAAACUGACCAAAGGUGUAGGCUGCACCAUCACAAUGCAUGUCUAGCUCUCACCAAACCACGGAUGUGAUUUGAGUGGCAACGCUUCAAGACGGAGGCGUAUUGCCAAUGUAUUGUACCACACAGAGCGGUCCAUUUUCUGCAGUGCUCUAUGCUUUGGCAAUGGUAUGUACACUACGCUAUACGCAAUAGGUAGUAUGGCAAUCCAUCGUUCGCUACAAAUCACAUAAUAAUGACGUUGCUCUGAAAUGCACAGUAUUUUGUAGUGGAUGCGAAUGUGUGUCCAAACUCCGUUUCGUUGUCGGCUCCAAUCAUCUUAAAUAAAGUAUUACCGUUUAUAAUACAUAAUGUAAAACCCGUGUAGGCAUUUCAUCCAAAAUAUAUAGUGAACUCAAGACAUUUUAUAUUUUUAGGAUUUUAGUGAUAAUAUACAGAGUAAAUAUGUAACGUACGAAAGCGUC